UCCACCGCCAGCCGGGUUCUCCCGCCCCCGCGUUGGCUUGGGAAGCAAGGAAGCGGCGCGGCACAAAACGAGCACGCACGCGACAUCCUUCCCGUCGUCCACACUUCCGUCCCCUCUGAUCUUCUGCGCUCCCUUCCGGGUGGGCUCCAGACCUCCAGUGCUGCUGCUUGGGUGCGCGCCUCCGGCCGGCAACCGCGGCGAUCCGGGAGCUGCAUCGCGACAGCGAGGAUAUUGAUCACCGCCGCCGCAUCAUCCAACAUGAACAGGGGGCACUCAGGGUCCAUGGUCAGCAGCUGCUGCACCUCCGAGCCCACCGAAGAGAAGCACAAGGACCGCCAGACCUCAGCUUCCCGGCGCUGCCCCAGCUGUGGCCACAGCUUCGACAGCAAUCCGGACAUGAUUGGGCUUCCGGCCGGUGUCAAGUUCGAUCCGUCAGAUCAGGAGCUGAUAGAGCACCUGGAGUCCUUGGUGAAGGAAGGAGGCUCCAGAGCUCACCCUCUCAUUGACGACUUUAUACCCACCAUAAAAGGAGAUGAUGGCAUUUGCUACACUCAUCCAGAGAAUCUCCCAGGUGUGACAAGAGACGGCCUCACCAAGCACUUCUUCCACAGGACAUCCAAAGCUUACACCACAGGCACAAGGAAGAGGAGAAAGAUCCAGUCAGAUCGUGGCCUGCACGGCAGUGAAGAUGUCGGCGAGGCGCGGUGGCACAAGACUGGCAAGACGCGUCCAGUGAUCGUGGGCGGCCAGCAGAAGGGGUGCAAAAAGAUCCUGGUGCUGUACGUUAAUUACGGAAAACAAGGCAAGCCGGACAAGACCAACUGGGUGAUGCACCAGUACCACCUCGGCGACCAGGAGGAGAAGGACGGGCAGCUGGUCGUAUCCAAGGUCUUCUACCAGACGCAGCUGCGUUCUGGCACAGCAAUGGUGGAACAGCGCACGAGGGAAGGUGAAAAUGUGGCAGAGGCCUCGGAGGCAAUGCAGAAUGUGCUCCCUGGCUGUGCUGCUGAUGCCACAGCAGCGACGACGGUCGCCAUGGUGCCCCAGCAUCAGCAGAAACGGCAGAGGCAGGCUACUGGUGGCCAUUGCAGCAUUGCUCCUUCGAAGAUGUCUCAUGAGAUUGGUGCAGUAGGCAAUCAGGUAUCACGUGAUCAAGGAGAGAAAAGUGUGACAACCACCACAUACCAUCACAACAGCAUGUCCGAUCAGAUCUGCAUGCAAAACCAGUACCCACCAUGCCUUUCCAUGUCGGUACACCAUCGAACACAGUUUCAACAGCAAUAUAACCUGAAGUGAAACAUACGUCACUCGUCCUGGACAGUAGAAGUAGGUUCUGUUGUCCAGCAAUCCUUCAUCGAAAUGAAAAGAACCAGGAGCAGCAGCAGAAAGUUGGCUGCAGAUCUGCUGAAAUGGAAGAACUGAUAAUUGACUGCCAAUCAGCAAGCACAGAAGCGGGAGCAUCAACUCAGUCCAAGGAGGUGCAACGGCCUUAUCACCUUUACUGGCCUCCUGAUCACAACCAAGAUCAACAUCAAUUACAAUGUAGCUAGUAGCACCAAAUGAAGCUUAUAAUUAGUAUUCAACAACCGUAGCGGCAUCAAACCAAAAUUUCCACCUAUUUCGUGAUCUUGAACAAGUUUUUCUUAGAGCAAUUUUUUAAGGCUAUGGGUAAUAUUAUAGACAUUUCCAAUUGUACUAGUUUAAGCUGUAUAGAUAUGUUAUUGUUUGCGGUAAUGUCUUGUCAUUUAUAAGCAAAGGUAAUAUGGAAGGAACUUAAGUUGACGGGUUA
Molecule: RNA transcript, 1789 nt
Organism: Setaria italica (foxtail millet)
Lineage: Eukaryota; Viridiplantae; Streptophyta; Magnoliopsida; Poales; Poaceae
Gene name: NAC domain-containing protein 73
Exons: 7
Source: RefSeq, a predicted model, not a curated record